CGGCCGCGUCGACGACGAACGCUGGCGGCGUGCCUAAUACAUGCAAGUAGAACGCUGAAGAGAGGAGCUUGCUCUUCUUGGAUGAGUUGCGAACGGGUGAGUAACGCGUAGGUAACCUGCCUUGUAGCGGGGGAUAACUAUUGGAAACGAUAGCUAAUACCGCAUAACAAUGGAUGACACAUGUCAUUUAUUUGAAAGGGGCAAUUGCUCCACUACAAGAUGGACCUGCGUUGUAUUAGCUAGUAGGUGAGGUAAUGGCUCACCUAGGCGACGAUACAUAGCCGACCUGAGAGGGUGAUCGGCCACACUGGGACUGAGACACGGCCCAGACUCCUACGGGAGGCAGCAGAGGAAGUACGUCGGUCGAACUAGGGGCGAACCGUCGACCGACGCGAACGCCGCGUCGAGUGAGAAGGUACGUUACUACUCACGCGGCGUGGCGUGCGUCACGGCGUUCGUCCACUUGCGUCAAACUUCCAACCUCGCUCGCCGUCCGUACGUAGUCGUGGCCGUCGUCUCACGUCCACGUGUCGG
This 534-nucleotide ribosomal RNA is filed under the name uncultured Streptococcus sp. RNAcentral's name for it is "bacterial SSU rRNA". It matches the Rfam family "Bacterial small subunit ribosomal RNA", at positions 28 to 479 of the family's 1533-position model. Lineage: Bacteria; Bacillati; Bacillota; Bacilli; Lactobacillales; Streptococcaceae. The record is from RNAcentral.